UCCGGCGUAGCUCAAUGGUAGAGCAGGGCGCUGUUAACGCCAAGGUUGUAGGUUCGAGCCCUACCGCCGGAGCCA
Molecule: transfer RNA, 75 nt
Filed under: Verrucomicrobiota bacterium
Lineage: Bacteria; Pseudomonadati; Verrucomicrobiota
Also listed under: 1 other name
Description: Verrucomicrobia bacterium tRNA-Asn
Rfam family: tRNA
About the family: Transfer RNA (tRNA) molecules are approximately 80 nucleotides in length. Their secondary structure includes four short double-helical elements and three loops (D, anti-codon, and T loops).
Source: RNAcentral